Molecule: ribosomal RNA, 2485 nt
Filed under: Staphylococcus aureus
Lineage: Bacteria; Bacillati; Bacillota; Bacilli; Caryophanales; Staphylococcaceae
Description: partial 23S ribosomal RNA
Rfam family: Bacterial large subunit ribosomal RNA
Source: RNAcentral
AUUAGACGAAUCAUCUGGAAAGAUGAAUCAAAGAAGGUAAUAAUCCUGUAGUCGAAAAUGUUGUCUCUCUUGAGUGGAUCCUGAGUACGACGGAGCACGUGAAAUUCCGUCGGAAUCUGGGAGGACCAUCUCCUAAGGCUAAAUACUCUCUAGUGACCGAUAGUGAACCAGUACCGUGAGGGAAAGGUGAAAAGCACCCCGGAAGGGGAGUGAAAUAGAACCUGAAACCGUGUGCUUACAAGUAGUCAGAGCCCGUUAAUGGGUGAUGGCGUGCCUUUUGUAGAAUGAACCGGCGAGUUACGAUUUGAUGCAAGGUUAAGCAGUAAAUGUGGAGCCGUAGCGAAAGCGAGUCUGAAUAGGGCGUUUAGUAUUUGGUCGUAGACCCGAAACCAGGUGAUCUACCCUUGGUCAGGUUGAAGUUCAGGUAACACUGAAUGGAGGACCGAACCGACUUACGUUGAAAAGUGAGCGGAUGAACUGAGGGUAGCGGAGAAAUUCCAAUCGAACCUGGAGAUAGCUGGUUCUCUCCGAAAUAGCUUUAGGGCUAGCCUCAAGUGAUGAUUAUUGGAGGUAGAGCACUGUUUGGACGAGGGGCCCCUCUCGGGUUACCGAAUUCAGACAAACUCCGAAUGCCAAUUAAUUUAACUUGGGAGUCAGAACAUGGGUGAUAAGGUCCGUGUUCGAAAGGGAAACAGCCCAGACCACCAGCUAAGGUCCCAAAAUAUAUGUUAAGUGGAAAAGGAUGUGGCGUUGCCCAGACAACUAGGAUGUUGGCUUAGAAGCAGCCAUCAUUUAAAGAGUGCGUAAUAGCUCACUAGUCGAGUGACACUGCGCCGAAAAUGUACCGGGGCUAAACAUAUUACCGAAGCUGUGGAUUGUCCUUUGGACAAUGGUAGGAGAGCGUUCUAAGGGCGUUGAAGCAUGAUCGUAAGGACAUGUGGAGCGCUUAGAAGUGAGAAUGCCGGUGUGAGUAGCGAAAGACGGGUGAGAAUCCCGUCCACCGAUUGACUAAGGUUUCCAGAGGAAGGCUCGUCCGCUCUGGGUUAGUCGGGUCCUAAGCUGAGGCCGACAGGCGUAGGCGAUGGAUAACAGGUUGAUAUUCCUGUACCACCUAUAAUCGUUUUAAUCGAUGGGGGGACGCAGUAGGAUAGGCGAAGCGUGCGAUUGGAUUGCACGUCUAAGCAGUAAGGCUGAGUAUUAGGCAAAUCCGGUACUCGUUAAGGCUGAGCUGUGAUGGGGAGAAGACAUUGUGUCUUCGAGUCGUUGAUUUCACACUGCCGAGAAAAGCCUCUAGAUAGAAAAUAGGUGCCCGUACCGCAAACCGACACAGGUAGUCAAGAUGAGAAUUCUAAGGUGAGCGAGCGAACUCUCGUUAAGGAACUCGGCAAAAUGACCCCGUAACUUCGGGAGAAGGGGUGCUCUUUAGGGUUAACGCCCAGAAGAGCCGCAGUGAAUAGGCCCAAGCGACUGUUUAUCAAAAACACAGGUCUCUGCUAAACCGUAAGGUGAUGUAUAGGGGCUGACGCCUGCCCGGUGCUGGAAGGUUAAGAGGAGUGGUUAGCUUCUGCGAAGCUACGAAUCGAAGCCCCAGUAAACGGCGGCCGUAACUAUAACGGUCCUAAGGUAGCGAAAUUCCUUGUCGGGUAAGUUCCGACCCGCACGAAAGGCGUAACGAUUUGGGCACUGUCUCAACGAGAGACUCGGUGAAAUCAUAGUACCUGUGAAGAUGCAGGUUACCCGCGACAGGACGGAAAGACCCCGUGGAGCUUUACUGUAGCCUGAUAUUGAAAUUCGGCACAGCUUGUACAGGAUAGGUAGGAGCCUUUGAAACGUGAGCGCUAGCUUACGUGGAGGCGCUGGUGGGAUACUACCCUAGCUGUGUUGGCUUUCUAACCCGCACCACUUAUCGUGGUGGGAGACAGUGUCAGGCGGGCAGUUUGACUGGGGCGGUCGCCUCCUAAAAGGUAACGGAGGCGCUCAAAGGUUCCCUCAGAAUGGUUGGAAAUCAUUCAUAGAGUGUAAAGGCAUAAGGGAGCUUGACUGCGAGACCUACAAGUCGAGCAGGGUCGAAAGACGGACUUAGUGAUCCGGUGGUUCCGCAUGGAAGGGCCAUCGCUCAACGGAUAAAAGCUACCCCGGGGAUAACAGGCUUAUCUCCCCCAAGAGUUCACAUCGACGGGGAGGUUUGGCACCUCGAUGUCGGCUCAUCGCAUCCUGGGGCUGUAGUCGGUCCCAAGGGUUGGGCUGUUCGCCCAUUAAAGCGGUACGCGAGCUGGGUUCAGAACGUCGUGAGACAGUUCGGUCCCUAUCCGUCGUGGGCGUAGGAAAUUUGAGAGGAGCUGUCCUUAGUACGAGAGGACCGGGAUGGACAUACCUCUGGUGUACCAGUUGUCGUGCCAACGGCAUAGCUGGGUAGCUAUGUGUGGACGGGAUAAGUGCUGAAAGCAUCUAAGCAUGAAGCCCCCCUCAAGAUGAGAUUUCCCAA